CCAGACUCCUACGGGAGGCAGCAGUGGGGACUCUUGCACAAUGGGGGCCCCCCUGAUGCCGCGCCGCCGCGUGCGUGCCGAAGUAUUUCGGUAUGUAAAGCUCUCUCAGCAGGGCAGCAACUGACGGUCCCUGACUAAGAAGCCCCGGCUAACUACGUGCCAGCAGCCGCGGUCAUACGUAGGGAGCAAGCGUUGUCCGGAAUUACUGGGCGUAAAGGGCGCGUAGGUGGGCGCUUAAGUCAGGUGUGAAAACUCCGGGCUCAACCGGGAGACUGCACUUGAAACUGGGUGUCGUGAGGGCAGGAGAGGAAAGUGGAAUUCCUAGUGUAGCGGUGAAAUGCGUAGAUAUUAGGAGGAACACCAGUGGCGAAGGCGACUUUCUGGACUGUACCUGACGCUGAGGCGCGAAAGCGUGGGUAGCGAACGGGAUUAGAUACCCUAGUA
This 444-nucleotide ribosomal RNA is filed under the name uncultured bacterium. Its description in RNAcentral is "bacterial SSU rRNA". It matches the Rfam family "Bacterial small subunit ribosomal RNA", at positions 331 to 792 of the family's 1533-position model. The record is from RNAcentral.